RNAcentral lists this small nucleolar RNA (107 nucleotides) under Cephalotus follicularis. RNAcentral's name for it is "Plant small nucleolar RNA R71". It matches the Rfam family "Plant small nucleolar RNA R71". Rfam says of the family: R71 is a member of the C/D box family of snoRNAs containing the C (UGAUGA) and D (CUGA) box motifs. Multiple nearly identical copies of this snoRNA have been identified in Arabidopsis, and it is thought to function as a 2'-O-ribose methylation guide for 18S ribosomal RNA. The record is from Rfam by way of RNAcentral. Lineage: Eukaryota; Viridiplantae; Streptophyta; Magnoliopsida; Oxalidales; Cephalotaceae.
AAACCAUGAUGUGGACACUCCAAUAUAAAGUCUUUGAAACAUUUCAUACAUCGAGAGAAUGAUUAAUUGGGUCUUUGAUGAAACUAGAGAAUGUCAUUCCUAAGUUU